This 484-nucleotide ribosomal RNA is filed under the name uncultured bacterium. Its description in RNAcentral is "partial 16S ribosomal RNA". It matches the Rfam family "Bacterial small subunit ribosomal RNA", at positions 30 to 507 of the family's 1533-position model. The record is from RNAcentral.
AUUGAACGCUGGCGGCAGGCCUAACACAUGCAAGUCGAACGGAUGAAGGGAGCUUGCUCCUGGAUUCAGCGGCGGACAGGUGAGUAAUGCCUAGGAAUCUGCCUGGUAGUGGGGGAUAACGUCCGGAAACGGGCGCUAAUACCGCAUACGUCCUGAGGGAGAAAGUGGGGGAUCUUCGGACCUCACGCUAUCAGAUGAGCCUAGGUCGGAUUAGCUAGUUGGUGGGGUAAAGGCCUACCAAGGCGACGAUCCGUAACUGGUCUGAGAGGAUGAUCAGUCACACUGGAACUGAGACACGGUCCAGACUCCUACGGGAGGCAGCAGUGGGGAAUAUUGGACAAUGGGCGAAAGCCUGAUCCAGCCAUGCCGCGUGUGUGAAGAAGGUCUUCGGAUUGUAAAGCACUUUAAGUUGGGAGGAAGGGCAGUAAGUUAAUACCUUGCUGUUUUGACGUUACCAACAGAAUAAGCACCGGCUAACUUCGUG